GAUGAACGCUAGCGGCAGGCUUAACACAUGCAAGUCGAGGGGUAGCAGGGAGCUUGCUCCGCUGACGACCGGCGAACGGGUGCGUAACGCGUAUAGAAUCUACCUCUUACUAAGGGAUAGCCCAGAGAAAUUUGGAUUAAUAUCUUAUAGUAUGUUAACUUGGCAUCAAGAUAACAUUAAAGGUUACGGUAAGAGAUGACUAUGCGUCCUAUUAGCUAGAUGGUGUGGUAACGGCACACCAUGGCAACGAUAGGUAGGGGCCCUGAGAGGGGGAUCCCCCACACUGGUACUGAGACACGGACCAGACUCCUACGGGAGGCAGCAGUGAGGAAUAUUGGACAAUGGAGGCAACUCUGAUCCAGCCAUGCCGCGUGCAGGAAGACUGCCCUAUGGGUUGUAAACUGCUUUUAUACAGGAAGAAACACUCUCACGUGUGAGAGCUGACGGUAC
Molecule: ribosomal RNA, 450 nt
Filed under: Olleya sp. R2-Sid-T25-4b
Lineage: Bacteria; Pseudomonadati; Bacteroidota; Flavobacteriia; Flavobacteriales; Flavobacteriaceae
Description: bacterial SSU rRNA
Rfam family: Bacterial small subunit ribosomal RNA
Source: RNAcentral